RNAcentral lists this ribosomal RNA (1031 nucleotides) under Microascus anfractus. RNAcentral's name for it is "SSU rRNA". It matches the Rfam family "Eukaryotic small subunit ribosomal RNA", at positions 74 to 1115 of the family's 1831-position model. The record is from RNAcentral. Lineage: Eukaryota; Fungi; Ascomycota; Sordariomycetes; Microascales; Microascaceae.
UUAUACCGCGAAACUGCGAAUGGCUCAUUAUAUAAGUUAUCGUUUAUUUGAUAGCACGUUACUACUUGGAUAACCGUGGUAAUUCUAGAGCUAAUACAUGCUAAAAACCCCGACUUCGGAAGGGGUGUAUUUAUUAGAUUAAAAGCCAACGCCCUUCGGGGCUCUGUGGUGAUUCAUGAUAACUUUUCGAAUCGCAUGGCCUUGCGCCGGCGAUGGUUCAUUCAAAUUUCUUCCCUAUCAACUUUCGAUGCGAGGGUCUUGUCCUCGCAUGGUUGCAACGGGUAACGGAGGGUUAGGGCUCGACCCCGGAGAAGGAGCCUGAGAAACGGCUACUACAUCCAAGGAAGGCAGCAGGCGCGCAAAUUACCCAAUCCCGACACGGGGAGGUAGUGACAAUAAAUACUGAUACAGGGCUCUUUAGGGUCUUGUAAUCGGAAUGAGUACAAUUUAAAUCCCUUAACGAGGAACAAUUGGAGGGCAAGUCUGGUGCCAGCAGCCGCGGUAAUUCCAGCUCCAAUAGCGUAUAUUAAAGUUGUUGUGGUUAAAAAGCUCGUAGUCGAACCUUGGGCCUGGCCGGCCGGUCCCCCUCACCGGGUGCACUGAUCCGGCCGGGCCUUUCCCUCUGUGGAACCCCAUGGCCUUCACUGGCUGUGCGGGGGAAACAGGACUUUUACUGUGAAAAAAUUAGAGUGCUCCAGGCAGGCCUAUGCUCGAAUACAUUAGCAUGGAAUAAUAGAAUAGGACGCGUGGUUCUAUUUUGUUGGUUUCUAGGACCGCCGUAAUGAUUAAUAGGGACAGUCGGGGGCAUCAGUAUUCAAUUGUCAGAGGUGAAAUUCUUGGAUCUAUUGAAGACUAACUACUGCGAAAGCAUUUGCCAAGGAUGUUUUCAUUGAUAAGGAACGAAAGUUAGGGGAUCGAAGACGAUCAGAUACCGUCGUAGUCUUAACUAUAAACUAUGCCGACUAGGGAUCGGACGAUGUUAUUUCUUGACGCGUUCGGCACCUUUCGAGAAAUCAAAGUGCUUGGGCUCC